This is an RNA transcript of Mus musculus (house mouse), 8444 nucleotides long. It is a transcript of the gene named mitochondrial ribosomal protein L4, with no coding region annotated. NCBI's taxonomy places the organism in Eukaryota, Metazoa, Chordata, Mammalia, Rodentia, Muridae. The record is from RefSeq and is marked validated. The transcript has 9 exons.
AAAAACAAAACAAACAAAACAAAAAGAAGAAAGAAAGAAAAAGAAUAUUAUUUUUAAGAGCUAGGCAGUAGCGGCUAGCACCUUUAGUUGCAGCACUUGUGAGGAAGACCCAGGGGUUCCAGACCAGCCUGGUCUACAGAGGGAGUUCCAGGUAGCCAGGGCUAUACAGAGAAACCCUGUCUUGAAAACACAAACGAGGGGCUGGAGAGAUGGCUCAGCAGUUAAGAGCACUGACUGCUCUUCCGAAGGUUCUGAGUUCAAAUCCCAGCAACCACAUGUUGGCUUACAACCAUCCAUAAUGACAUCUGACUCCCUCUCCUGGUGUGUCUGAAGACAGCUACAGUGUACUUACAUAUAAAAUAAAUAAUAAAUAAAAUCUUUAAAAAAAAGAAGAAAACACAAACGAAAACAUUUUAGGGGGCUGGAGAGCUGACUCAGAGGUUAAGAGCAUUGGCUGAUCUUCCAAAGGACCCAGGUUUAAUUCCCAGCACCAAACGUGGUAGCCCACAACUAUCUGUGACUCCAGUUUCAUGAGAUCUGACACCCUCACACAGACAUAUAAGUAGGCAAAACACAUAAAAUAGAAAUAAAUUAUAUAUACAAAAAUUUGGGGUUGUUUUGUUUUUCCUUGUUUUCUUUUUGUUUUUCGAGACAGGGUUUCUCUGUGUAGCCCUGGCUGUCCUGGAACUCCCUCUGUAGACCAGGCUGGCCUCGAACUCAGAAAUCCGCCUUUGUCUGUCUCCCAAAGUGCUGGGAUUAAAGGCAUGCACCACCGCUGCCCGGCAAAAAUUAGAUUUGUUUUCUUUCACGUGCGUGAGUGUUUUGCCUGCAUGUAUGUCUAUGUACUAUAUUCAUGAGGUCCCUGUAUGUCAGAAGAGGAUGUCCUAUUCUCCGGAUCUAGAACUACAGAUGAUUGUGAGCCACCAUGUAGGUUCUGGGAACUGAAUCCUGGUCCUCUAGAAGAACAGCCAGUGUUCUCAACAGCUGACUCAUUUCUCUAGCUCCUAAAAAAAACUUUUGAAUCACAAAAUAUUGGGGCCGAAGAGAGAGGCUCAAGGAGUAAGAAAGACUGCUUGCUGCUCUUUCAGAGUUCUUUGGAUCCAAGUUAAGUUCCCAGGCCCCACAGUAGGUGGCUCACAUCCAUCUAUAACCCCAGUGCCUGGAGCUCCUUUGCCCUCUUCUGAGCUCUGUGCUCACUAUACUCCUGUGUAUAAAGAACCACACUUACACACAUAAUUAAUAAAUAAAAAUGGCCAGGUGUGGUGAGACACACCUUUAAUCCUAGCACUCAAGAGGCAGAGGCAGGAAGAUCUCUGUGAGUUUGAGACCGGCCUGGUCUACACAGGAAGGAAAGCAAUGCAAAAACCUAAAAAUACAUUAAAAUGAAAUAAAAACCACAAAGUAAGUGAACAAUCAGAUACAAAUCAAACCCACAAGAGGAAGGCAUCACUGUUCAAUAAAGGGACUGUAGGAGACGAGGCCAGAGUCGGGGGGAGUAGCUAAGGAUGCAGAGAAAGGGGAACUCACCACUGGGGAAAAUGAAAAUGAGCAGGGUUUAUAUAUAUGGAAAACAGAAAGAAGGUUCCUCAAAACACUAAAAAUAAAACGGACAUAUGACUUUGCUAUCCCACACUGGGGUACGUGAGCAACGCAUAUUAAUUUGCUGUGUCAAGGAGAUCUCUAAACGUCCACGUCUGUCUGUCUUUAUUGCUCAUCCUAAAAUACAUUUUACAUUAUUAUAUGCUUGCAUGAUGUGAGAGAAGCACGUACAUAUUAAGGGAUUCAGAAGACAGCGUUGUGAGGGUGGUCGUCUCCAUGUUUACGUGAGUUCUGAUGAAGUCAGGCUGUCAGGCUUGUGUAGCAAGUGCCUUACUCACUGAGCUCAGCUCUCGAUUUUUUUUUUUUUUUUUUUUUUUGAGAAAGGGUCUCAUGUGAUCAAACUAGCCUGUAAUUCACUAUGUAGAGCCAAGGCUGGUCAUUUUUCUUCUGCCUCUGGAAUUAACAAGUCUGUAUCAACACACCCAAUUAAUGCAGUGCUGGGCACUGAACCCAGAGCUUCACGCAUGCUAGGCAAGCACUCUAGCAACUGAACUACAAACACUGUGACAACUGAGUGAUAAGCACCAUGUCAAAAGAGCUAUAAGCACUACACCAACUAAGUUAUAUGCACUAGAUCAACUGAACCACAAGCACUGUACCAACUGAGCUCUUUUCCCAGGUUCCUUUCAUAUUUAUCCCAGCCAAUAAGUGGAGUUAACUGAGGUGUCCUUUGACAGAUGAAGGGAUAAAGAAAAUGUGCACAUUGGGUGUGGUUCUAGAGGCCCAUAGUCUCUGUUAUGCCAGAGGGUAAUACAGGAGCAAUAUAAUCAAGAGCCCCAGCCUGGAGGCUGGACAGAUGGCUCAGAGGCUAAGAGAACUGGCUGCUGCCAGGCAGUGGUGGUGCACACAUUUAAUCCCAGCUCUUGGGAGGCAGAGGCAGGGAGAUUUCUGAGUUGGAGGCCAGCCUGGUCUACAGAGUGAGUUCCAGGACAGCCAGGGCUACACAGAGAAACCAUGUCUUGAAAGAGAGAGAGAGAGGGAGAGAGAGAGAGGGAGAGGGAGAGAGAGAGGGAGAGAGAGAGAGAGAGAGAGAGAGAGGGAGAGGGAGAGGGAGAGGGAGAGGGAGAGGGAGAGGGAGAGGGAGAGGGAGAGAGAGAGAGAAUGUGUGAGAGUGUGAGUGAGCUGGCUGUUCUUCCAAAAGUCCUUAGUUCAGUUCCUACUAACUGUAUGGUGGCUCAUAGCCAUCUAUAAUGAGAUCUGGUGCCCUCUUCUGGCUUGCAAGCAUACAUGCAGGCAGACUGGAUGUAUAUUUUUUUUUAAAAAUAUUUAUUUAUUAUUAUAUCUUAAGUACACUGUAGCUGUCUUCAGACACAGCAAAAGAGGGCAUCAGAUCUCAUUACAAGUGGUUGUGAGCCACCAUGUGGUUGCUGGAAUUUGAACUCAGAAUCUUCGGAAGAGCAGUCAGUGCUCUUAACCAUGAGCCAUCUCUCUAGCCCCCUGGAUGUAUACUUAAUAAAUAGAACAAAGGGGGAAAGAUGCUGCAUGGCUUCUUAAAAAAAAAAAAAAAGAGGCCAGCCUGGGCUACAUAGUAAACCCUAAGGCCAGUCACAGUGGCAAUGCUUGUAGUCCCAACAUUGGGGAAGCUGGCCAGUCAACCUGGAAGCCAAACCAAGACCCUCAGAUUCACUGGCCAGCCAGCCUGGCUGAAUCCAAGAACUCUAGACUCACUGAGAGACCCUGGGUUUCAUAAACUAAGGUAGAAAAAAAAGUGGGCAAUGGUGAUGCAUGCCUUUAAUCCUGGCACUCUGGAGGAUGUGAGUUCAAGGCCAGCCUGGUCUACAGAGCAGUUCCAGGACAGAGAAACAUUGCCUCAAAAAACAAAAACAAACUAGCUAAGGUGGAGAGGACAGAGCAGGACACUCACUUUGACCUUUGUGCAUAGGUUUCCUGUCCACCCUCGUACCCACUCACACACUAAGAAUAGAAGGACUAGAGAAAGGAUGCCAGCACCUGAGAGGCAGAGACAGAAGGGUCUCUCAGCAGACCACAGCCUGAAAGGAAAGGGAAAAGAAGGAGUGUUAUUCAGCCCUGUUGUUAUACAUGGUAGGCGAUAUUAAAUGUAAGUGACCAGACGGAAACACACAUGUUCUCUUUGGUGAGGAAAAUAAAAGCUGAAUACAGACAGGCAUGGUGAUGCACGCCUUUAAUCCCAGCACUCAGGAAGAAGAGGCAAGUGGAUCUCUGUGAGUUUGAGAUUGGCCAGCCAGAGCUACGUAGUAAGGCCCACUUUUUGCACUUACAAAGACUUGGAUUUCAGGUUUGUCAGGAGGACUCCACAGGUAAAGAUGCUUGUUGCCAAGCUUCACAUCUGACUUUAAGACCUAGGAUACCAAGCCGGGCAUGAUGGUGCACACCUUUAAUCCCAGCACUCGGGAAGCAGAGGCAGGUGGAUUUCAGAGUUCGAGGCCAGCCUGGUCUACAAAGUGAGUUCCAGAACAACCAGGGCUAUACAGAGAAACCCUGUCUCAAAAAACCAAAAACAAAAACAAAAACAAAAGAAAGAGAGAGAGAGAAAGAGAGAACCAAUUCCCACAAAUGGUCUUUUGAUCUCCAUACCCACAUGUGUGCCCCCAACACAAAUGAAUGAAUGAAUAAAAAGAUAAACAAACAAAUACCAGUAAGAACAAACCCCCAAAACACUAGGUUCUUGGGCCAAUGAGACGGCUCAGUGGAUAAAGGUGCUUGCUACCAAGUCUAACAACCUGAGCUUGAUCCCUGGAACUUAUCUAGUGAAAGAAAAGGACUAACAACUCAACAUCACCUUCUGACCUCCACAUCUGCAGCUUGGCAUAUGUAUGCCCACUCUCAACUGCACAUAGAAAAGGCACUGUUGGUUAGAAUAAAUCCUUGUUUUCUUUGUGGUGCUGGAGAUAGAACCAAGGGCCUCAUGUAUACUUGGCUACCACUGUUUAAUAGUUAAUUAGUAAAUCUAAUAGUAUAUCCUAGAAAUGUUCAAAAAUAUAUCAGUGAGGCUGGGGCUCAGUGGAUAGGGUGUUUGCCUAACAAGCAGGAGGCCCUGGACUCCAGCCUCAGUACUACACGAACAGCACAUAGUUCCACAAGACAGUCAUGUUAGCACGAGAAAGGCAGAGACAGAAGAUCAGGGUUCAUGGUUAUUCUCAGCUACAUAGUGAGUUCCAAGCUAGGCUGGGCUACAUAAUACAUGUCUGAAAAUACAUAAACUGAUAACAAAUGCAAAGACGACGACGACGACAACAACAACAACAACAAAACUAUAUGCAUUUAGCCCAAUAAUUACAUUCUCCAGGGUCUGCUCCACCAGUGAGUUAUGGCACUGUGUAGCCUGGAACUCACUAUGUAGACCAAGGUUGCCUGAACUCACUAAGAACCACCUGCCUUGGUCUGCCUCUGCCUCCUAAGUGCUGGGAUUAAAGGCUUGUACCACCAUGCCCGGCCUGCCUUGGUCUUCUGUUGUCUCUUUGAUCACAAGGCUCCUUCAGUAUUAGAAUCCAUAAUGCUGGUUACUGAAUUUUCAUCUCAAGCCAGGAAUUCCACCCUUUGUACUCCUCAUUUACAAAAGAAUCACAAUUUUCCCAUUAUCCAGGUGAUGAAAAGGAGGUUGGCUCAGAGACCAGAGUCCAAGCUCUGUCCAGCCCUCAUAGUGGAUGGCAGUGAGCCAGGUGUAAGCUCUCAGCACCCCCUGAAGGUCAAGUGUGGAACAGAGACAAACCAUAAACUCUUUCAAUUAUCUUUGGAGAGGUUCUUAGUGAGGUGAUCUGGAUCUGUUCAUGAGGUAAUUUUUUUUUCCCCUCUGCCCUGGGAGAGUCCUAGAAGGACAGGGGGCAGGAUCCUGGAUUAGAUGUGAGUGGAGGGACACAGGGCUGAUAGGAGGGAUUUCAGAGGGAUAUAGCCAGCCCUGGAGAAUCUAAGAAAUACUGAAAGCUUUCUGGCAGGACUUUCAUUUAAAGAAUCAAACACAUCUGGAAAGAGGAGGCUGGAGGAUUUCAAGAUUACAUACUGGAGUUCUCUCUCAACAAAUAAAUAAACCCCAUAGGGGCUGGAGAGAUGGCUCAGCUGCUAGGGCACCUAAACUGCACAAACAUCUUGAUCUUUAGCACUAAAUAAACCAGCAUGGUGGCACAUACAUAUAAUCUCAGGACUCUUGAGGUGGGGGGCAGAAGAAUCAGAAAUUCAGCCGGGCAUGGUGGCGCAUGCCUUUAAUCCCAGCACUCGGGAGGCAGAGGCAGGCGGAUUUCUGAGUUCGAAGCCAGCCUGGUCUACAGAGUGAGUUCCAGGACAGCCAGGGCUACACAGAGAAACCCUGUCUCAAAAAAAAAAAAAAAAAAAAAGAAUCAGAAAUUCAAGGUUACUCUUGACUACACAGAGUUCAAGGCCAGCCAAAUCAGACCCCUUCACACACCAAAGAGAGGGGGAGGGAAGAUCAGAUAAAAUUAGAUUCACCUGGUCAUGUAAGCAUAGCGGUGCAGACAACCAGCAAUCCAGACCUCCGGAAGCCAGACAGGGAGACUCUGAACUCAAGGUCAUCCUUGGCUACACAGAGAAGCCUUGUUUACAAAAGAAUAGGAUGGCGUUUGAGAUGGCUCAGCUGGUUAGGUGGCUUGCCACCAAACUGGAUGGCCUGAGUUCUAUCCACAGAGUGAAAGGAAAUCGCAACUCCCUUGAGUUGUCUUCUUACUUCCACACUCAAACACAAAAAUAAAUUAAGAAAACUAAAAUAGGAGCUGGAGAGAUAGCUCUGUGGUUAAGAGCACUGUCUGCUCUUCCCGAGUUCGAUUCCCAGCAACCACAUGGUGGCUCAUAGCCACCUAUAAUGGGAUCUGAUGCUCUCUUCAGGCAUGCAAACAGAGCACUUAUAUGUAUAAAAUAAAUAAAAUAUUUCUUAAAAGUAAAAAAUUAAAAUACAUAUAUAUUGAAAAAGCGAAAAAUAGCCACAUGACAUGGACAUGGCACACACCUUUAAAAUUUUUUUCUUAAUUUCCAGACAGGGUCUCACUCUGAAGUCACUAUGUACUAUAUAGACCAGGCUGGCCUCGAAUUGCAGUGUUGCUUCUGAGUGCUAGAAUUAAAAUCAUGCAACACCACGGCCCAGCCCAGCACACAUCUUUAGUCUCAGUACUCAGGAAUCAGAAUCAUGUGGAUCUCUCUGAGUUCGAGGUCGCCCUGCGCUGCAUAGGGUGAGUCAGGAGUGAGACCCUUACUCUAAAAGACAAAAGUCAAUUCAUAUCAAUAAUGGUAAAGGGAGAGAAAGACACAGGAAAAAAAUGUAGGCAAAAUACGCAGUGUAGCAGGAGGCUCAUCCACGUUCAAUAAAAAAGAUAAACGCUUAUUAGCCAGGUACCGCCCAGGUAUGGGCGGACCCUCCAUCAAUACUUGAGGUUCAUUGGUUAAAAGAGAACCGCGUCUCUGGGGUUUGCUUCCCGGCACCCGGCUCUGGCUCUCCGGUGUCGGGGCUUCCGGCUGUCAAGUGGAGCUGAUCCACAGCCUCAGGCUUCGGGACCUGGCGCUGAUGGCGGCGGAAUCGCCUUCGUGACGUACCCGGCGCACAUACGACGUCAUCAGCCACCGCCGCGAGCGUCCGUACCGCAGCGACCUCGGCGCUGCGAGAGGUCCUCCGAGAUGCUGCGGUUGUUCCAGGCCGCUUCCCGGGCCUCGCUUCGACUCUCUGGCUCCCGGGUCAUCCACUCUCUAGCGGAAGGCGCGGAGCGGCCGGCCGAGAUUUCAGAGCCGCGAGAUAGCGCUGGUCUCCUAGAUCCUGUUUUGCGCAAGUGUGAGCUCCGGAUCCCAGUGCACCGGCGUCCGGUGCAAGCCUGGGUCGAGUCUCUCCGAGGCUUUGAGCAGGAGCGCAUCGGCCUGGCGGAGCUGCACCCCGACGUGUUUGCAACGGCGCCUCGGCUGGACAUUGUGCACCAGGUCGCCAUCUGGCAGAGGAACUUCAGGAGAAUCAGCUAUGCUAACACCAAGACCAGGGCUGAGGUGAGUGGUGGUGGCCGCAAGCCCUGGCAACAGAAAGGCAGUGGCCGUGCUCGGCAUGGCAGCAUCCGUUCUCCCUUAUGGCGAGGAGGCUUUCCUUGCCCACUCUUCCCAUGGUACCUAGCAGGAUCUUCUGGCCCCUCCCACUCCCCCAGCUACUGAACAUCACCCAUUCCAACACCUUAUGCCAGCCAUCAAGCAAAUUUCUGAGAUCCCAGACCAGCGGUGACACCAACACCUCAUACGCCACUGUCCCUGCAGGAGGUGUAGCCCAUGGUCCCCGGGGUCCUACAAGUUACUACUACAUGUUGCCCAUGAAAGUGCGGGCACUGGGCCUCAAGGUGGCCUUGACUGUCAAGCUCAUGCAGGAUGAUCUACACAUUGUGGAUUCCCUGGAGCUACCCACGGCAGACCCCCAGUACCUGACAGAGUUGGCCCAGUACCGCCACUGGGGGAGUUCCGUGCUCCUUGUAGACUUAACACAUGAAGAGAUGCCCAAGAAUGUCGUGGCAGCCACUUCAGGGCUCAACAGUUUCAACCUGAUCCCCGCAGUUGGCCUGAAUGUGUACAGCAUGCUCAAGCACCAGACUCUGGUCCUCACCCUGCCUUCCGUCGCCUUCCUGGAGGACAAGCUACUCUGGCAGGACUCAAGAUACACUCCGCUCUACCCCUUCCGCUUGCCCUACAGUGACUUCCCCUAACCCUGCCCUGGUCACCUAGGGACCUGCCCCACUUGGGGGCCAAGUCAGCACCCCAGCCAUCCUGCAAAAACAGCAGUUCCCUGGGAGCUGUUGGACCUUGUUGCAAGGAGGGGACAACUGCACAGAGCCAAGAUGAGUGCCUGCCUGGGAUCUCUUUUGUCACAUUAAAAAUAAACCCUAUUUUUCACAAGA